This is a long non-coding RNA of Erinaceus europaeus (western European hedgehog), 363 nucleotides long. RefSeq lists it as uncharacterized. The record is from RefSeq and is a predicted model, not a curated record. Lineage: Eukaryota; Metazoa; Chordata; Mammalia; Eulipotyphla; Erinaceidae. The transcript has 3 exons.
AUGGGCAGCCGCGGGGGAGGCUGCGGCGGCCGAGGAAGCGCAGCGACUCACCUGGGGGAGGAGGAGAAGGGGCCUCGGCGGCAGGACAGAAAGAAACUGAGAAGUAGGAGAUAGAGAGGAAAAGCGAAUGACAGACAACCAUAGCAUUGCCUCACCACUCAUGAAGCUUCUACUCUGCAGCCACCAGGUUCCAGAUGCUACCAUGAUGCCAACUAGACUUCCCUGGACAGAUGAUCCCACCGAUGUGUCCUGGAGCUCCACUUCCCCAGAACCCCGCCCCACUAAGGAAAGAGAGAGACAGGCUGGGAGUAUGGACUGAGUUGUCAACGCCCAUGUUCAGCAAUUACAGAGGCCAGACCUUCU